GACGAACGCUGGCGGCGUGCUUAACACAUGCAAGUCGAGCGGUAAGGCCCUUUCGGGGUACACGAGCGGCGAACGGUGAGUAAACACGUGGGUGGACCUGCCCUUAGCUCUGGGAUAAGCCUGGGGAAACUGGGUCUAAUACCGGAUAUGACUCCAUGACGCAUGUUGUGGGGUGGAAAAGCCUUGUGCGGCUAGGGAUGGGCCCGCGGCCUAGUCAGCUUGUUGGUGGGGUGAUGGCCUACCAAGGCGACGACGGGUAGCCGGCCUGAGAGGGCGACCGGCCACACU
RNAcentral lists this ribosomal RNA (288 nucleotides) under uncultured bacterium. Its description in RNAcentral is "partial 16S ribosomal RNA". It matches the Rfam family "Bacterial small subunit ribosomal RNA", at positions 28 to 314 of the family's 1533-position model. The record is from RNAcentral.